AGGGAAUUUUCGUCAAUGGGGGGAACCCUGAACGAGCAAUGCCGCGUGAGUGAGGAAGGUCUUCGGAUCGUAAAGCUCUGUUGUAAGAGAAAAACGACAUUCAUAGGGAAUGAUGAGUGAGUGAUGGUAUCUUACCAGAAAGUCACGGCUAACUACGUGCCAGCAGCCGCGGUAAUACGUAGGUGGCGAGCGUUAUCCGGAAUGAUUGGGCGUAAAGGGUGCGUAGGUGGCAGAACAAGUCUGGAGUAAAAGGUAUGGGCUCAACCCGUACUGGCUCUGGAAACUGUUCAGCUAGAGAACAGAAGAGGACGGCGGAACUCCAUGUGUAGCGGUAAAAUGCGUAGAUAUAUGGAAGAACACCGGUGGCGAAGGCGGCCGUCUGGUCUGUUGCUGACACUGAAGCACGAAAGCGUGGGGAGCAAAUAGGAUUAGAUACCCUAGUAGUCCACGCCGUAAACGAUGAGAACUAGGUGUUGGGGGAAUAACUCAGUGCCGCAGUUAACGCAAUAAGUUCUCCGCCUGGGGAGUAUGCACGCAAGUGUGAAACUCAGAGGAAUUGACGGGGGCCCGCACAAGCGGUGGAGUAUGUGGUUUAAUUCGAAGCAACGCGAAGAACCUUACCAGGCCUUGACAUCCCUUGCAGAGGUAUAGAGAUAUAUCCGAGGUUAUCAAGGAGACAGGUGGUGCAUGGUUGUCGUCAGCUCGUGUCGUGAGAUGUUGGGUUAAGUCCCGCAACGAGCGCAACCCUUGUGAUAUGUUACUAACAUUGAGUUGAGGACUCAUAUCAGACUGCCAGGGAUAACCUGGAGGAAGGCGGGGAUGACGUCAAAUCAUCAUGCCCCUUAUGACUUGGGCUACACACGUGCUACAAUGGCGUAAACAAAGGGAAGCAAAGCUGUGAAGCCGAGCAAAUCUCAAAAAUAACGUCUCAGUUCGGACUGUAGUCUGCAACCCGACUACACGAAGCUGGAAUCGCUAGUAAUCGCAGAUCAGAAUGCUGCGGUGAAUACGUUCCCG
RNAcentral lists this ribosomal RNA (1017 nucleotides) under uncultured bacterium. RNAcentral describes it as "bacterial SSU rRNA". It matches the Rfam family "Bacterial small subunit ribosomal RNA", at positions 356 to 1376 of the family's 1533-position model. The record is from RNAcentral.